Xiphophorus hellerii (green swordtail) is the source of this 3072-nucleotide long non-coding RNA. RefSeq lists it as uncharacterized. Lineage: Eukaryota; Metazoa; Chordata; Actinopteri; Cyprinodontiformes; Poeciliidae. The transcript has 2 exons. The record is from RefSeq and is a predicted model, not a curated record.
ACGGCAUUAAGGUCUCUAACAAAAUUGUCCUUCAAAAAAAGGGCUAGUUGAGACCAGAGCACCACACUGAGGACUUUUGUCUCCCAGAUUUUGGUAGAAAGAGAAAAGAGAAAAAUGAAAAAUUAUGCAAAUUGAAAUUGAGUUAAUUUUAAUUUAUCAUGGGAUUCAUUAAUUUAUUCCUUAUUGUGACAAUAAGCAGACACACUGUGUUUUUGAGUUUAAAAAACCAUUAAAGUUUACAGGAAACUUUAAAAUAUCACUAGAUAAUUGUUAUUGGAAAACAUUAUUAACACAUAAACACCAACUAUAAAUUCUUAAACAAUGCAAACAUAAAAAAAAUACAAUUAAGAUAAAUAUCAAGCUGUCUCGUCCUAAUUCAAAGGUUUUUUCGAUUGUUUAUCCGUGACUUUGCUAGCUGAAGUUGUUGGCGUGUAGACCGGUAAAGACAGGAAGUGGUUACGGCGUGCCGGUGAAUAAAAAGUCACCUGACCUCAGUCUCCCUUGUAGUUCACAAACUGACCUGUUUCCGUUGUGCUUCCAACCGUUUCACCAAAGAGACUCUUUUUGCUGUCACUGUUGCUGGUGUACAAAAAAAAACUAUAAUCAAUAAGCAAAUAAUCCUCAGCCUAGUGACCCACCAGGUUUAUAAUACACUGGGUGAGUAAAACAUGUUUUAUUGCAACUUUUAUCGCCAUCGCAAAUGUACUAAUUUAGUCUCCGUCACAAGAUCCAGUUUUAUGAGUCUUUGAAACUCAUAAAACUGGAUCUCAGACCUAAGAGAGGAAGUUGUUCUUGAGUUGCAUGUUGGUAUAAAUGUUUCUUACACCAAUUACAACGCAUACAGUUUUGUGAAUACAGGUAAUUUUUUAUUUUCUUAGAAAAAAUGCUACAUUUCCACCUUGUUUGACCAGUCUGUUCUCACUCAGUGUCUUGAAAGAUUCCAUUUUAAAAUGGAUAAGGAGCAAUAUUUGUUUUUGUGGCAGUUUAGUUACCUAAAAAAGACUGAAAAUAAGUUUUAAAUAUUUUUUUCUAUUAUUUUACUGGUAUACAAUAAAUACCAUAACAUAUUGUGAAAAGAUUUACUUAAAUAGCAACAAGCCAAUCACAUUGCAACAACCUUGCAUCAUUCUAUGAGAUGUGCAAUAUGGCGUAAAAUUUUAUUGUGAUAUUCUGUGGCAUUUACUAAUAUAAUGAUAAAAGUCAUGAUAUAAAGGUUAAAGGAUUUUGCAUGGGUUUGACUGCAUUCCACUGUAAACUUGUACAAUCACAAAUGCUGAUGUUGAUUUAAAAGACAGUUUACUGAUUAUUAUAUCAGGUACUUCAAGAGUACAGAAUAUUUUUAUUGCUAAGUGGUGCAUAAUAACUGCAUUUAAUCAUAUUUUAAAGUAUUUUGAUAUUUAUUGUUGCUCACAUGUAACCAAUACUUGGGACAACUGUAACAAUAUUUUUUUAAUCAAAUAUUAUCAUUUAAUCAUCUCAAGUUUGUCUUAAUGAUAAAUUAAAUUUCUCAUUGCAAUAAAAUGAGGCUACAACAGUUGUCCGUCUCUAUUCAGGACUCAACGAUGUCCGUCCUUUUGUCACCAAAGUGUACCCAUCUUCUGAUUGCUACUUUCUGCAGAUCAACACAUCUCUAACUGGCCUCAAACUGGCUUGAGGCCAGUUUUAAACUUUGUUUUAACGGCUUCCACAAGUUGGUGGAACGAGAUCCUCCUGAUAAAAACCUGCUGGGAUCCCAUCAUGUCACCAUGGACCAAAAAUCUCCUCAGGAAUGUUUUUUAACUUGCUCAGUCUGUGUCGCAAUCAGGGGCGGAUUUAGAAGGACGUGGGCCCCGGGGCUAAAGCAAGUUUUGGUCCCCCACCCACACAAAGUUUUGGGUUUUUUUUCACCCGAAUGCAAAUUGUAUUAUACUGAUUGAUGAAUAGGUAGGCCUUCAUUAGUUUAUAUGGAUAUUCAGGUUAACACAACCACUGUCUGAUUUCUCUGUGUUGUUCCUGAAAAUGAAUUAUGACGUAAUUUUAUCUGUUCAAUAUCAUAACAAAUAUAAUCAAUAACAUAUCUAGUGGUGUGGCCGUUUUUUUUGGUUUGUGAUAUAUUUUGGAAAAUGUUGAAGGAACAGUUUUUUCGGUUUAAAAUUUUAAAUCUUUCAGUAAGUUUUAAUCUUGAUUAGAGGGUUAAUGUCACAGCCUUACAUUUUUGUCUUAUUUUUAUUUAUGUUAUCGACUAUCGGUUAUUGAUGUUUGGAAUUAGAAAACUGACAGGUAUUGGUUUCAAUUUUUUUUUUUAAAAGUUGUGCAUCUCUAUUGCUCAUUUAGGUAACUAUCACUAUGACUGCCUGUCACAGAGGCACAGUGGAGCCUCACCUGUUGGGCUGUUUAGUAACAGAUUAUGCUAUCGAUUAUUCUGACAAUCAAUUAAUCUGUAAAAAAAAGAUGUGUCACAUUCCACUAAUUUUUUUAACCACUAAAUCUCUUUUAUACAAUAUAUAAAUACAGUAAACAAUGUCAGUAAACAAAUCUUUUUAAACCCUUUUUAAAUGAAGAAACUAAGCGUUUUACUGCCUAAAAUGCAAUAACGUAUCAUUUCUUUUGUGAAUGCUUGAAAAAUUUGUAGUUAAAAAAUACUUCUAACUUCAAAAUGUGAAAAGCUGAGCUCUCUCUGUAUGACUUAACAUCAGUACAGUGUAGGGCUAAUCUGUUUUUCUUUCAUCAUUUGUAUUUUUUAAAUUUGGAUUAACCAAUUAAUUAAAUAGAAAAAGGUGCUUAAUAGAAGACUUGUUUGUACAGAAUUUGAACCAGGAAAAAGUUAAACUAUGCCACUUACGGAGUAUUGGGUAGAGCGUGUUUGCAGAUAAAGGAGUUUUUUUUUAAGUUGUUUUUUUUAUUUUUUUUUUUAAUGUAUUUUGCAUUUAAAAUACAUAAAAUGCAAAAUACAUUUUGUACAUAAUUGUGCAACCGACUUGUACAAUUUUGGUUUACUGCUCUGAUUAUAUUGCUUUUUCAGAAAAUGUUCCUUUUGGAGUUUGUAUUCUCCAGUUAUGAUUAAUCAAUUACUAAAUUAGUUGACAAUUAAUU